CACAAACAGUGUUAGUCAGGAGAAGGACUGCAGGAGGCUGAGGUGGUGCUGCUGAAAUGAUCUUACCAUGGUACCAGGAGCUGAUUACCUGCCUGCAGAGCACAGCACCUUGGGUGCACUUUCUCAGCUAGAGGUGAAGUCUCUCUGCCACGAGCUGUGCUGCGUGCGUACUGUGAGCUUGUCAGGCUUUAAUUCAGAAGCUACCAAAGAAUUCCUAUGGAAAUACGUAUGACAUCCAUGUUACAGUCAUAAUUAAUUAACCAAUCAAUUAUCAUGAUGGAUGCCUUUUUAAUGAAUCGGUUGCAAAUAAUUUUCAGUUCCUAUGGUUUUCAUUGGAAGCGUAUGAAUCAUGGCAGAUUCUUUGGGUUGCUGAGGAAUGUUGGAUGCUAAUCCGAGACCCGAGCAUCUUUACCCGAGGUGAGCCAGGUCCUGAGCAAUCAGAUCCAGAUGCAAGGAUGGAGAGCUAUCCUGGAGGUCAGAGGCUCUUCAGAUUUGGAAACAGUGCCAGCACAAGGUAACAGUUGGCCCAGAGAAUGGAAGGAACAGAUCUGAAAUGGCCCAGGAUGGGAUUUGGAGAGCUCCAAAUGCAGAUUUCACUGCUGAUCCUGUAUGUACUGGAAAAAAAAAAGAAAGCUGCAAACCCCAAUUUUCACUUUGACUGGGCAGCGUGGCUCUCCUUCAAUGACUGCAGACGGGACACCAGCUGUGAGCAAGGACAGGCAGGAAGGAAGCAAACUCUGGUGUCGGAUGGGGACACAGCCAGAGCCUCGGCCUUCUGCUGCCAUGCUGUGGAUUGAGCGUUUCAUUCACACAAAUGCACAUUUCCUGGCAGUGCUGGGGCUGGCCUGGAAUCCAGACCUGGUCUGCUCAAGGUAGAGCCAUUACCCUAAAGUGCUUUUAUUGAUCUGUUGACUUUCUGUCUCCCUCCUUCUCUUUCUCUCUUCACCCUGCCAGACUCCUAAAGACUCAUAUCUUGUCUCAUACAACCAAGAUAUUUUAAGGAGUAAACAAUGAUUUUGAAGUCAGAUUAGACAAACUGUACUUGACUAGUGUGAAACCAAAUAUCCUUUGAAUGAUGUCUGAAGUAGGACCUGGAUCCUUUUACAAGCAAUCCUUCUUCCCCUCCCCCCCCCCCCCCCUUAGCUCUUUCCCCUCUCUGCAUGUUCUGGUGAUCUUGAAAAAUUUGGAAAAAAAUCAGAGAUUAAUUUCAGGGUCAAGUACACAUAUUCUUUGUGGCAUCCCAUUCCCUGCUGUAGCAGUGCCAUAUUGUUGUACUUUACUUUUUGUUGGUUAAAGAAAGCUACAGUAAUAAAUCUAUAUACAUGCUUUGAAAUCUAGUGGUA
This 1343-nucleotide long non-coding RNA is filed under the name Chrysolophus pictus (golden pheasant). RNAcentral's name for it is "lncRNA (ENSCPIG00010011816.1)". The record is from RNAcentral. Lineage: Eukaryota; Metazoa; Chordata; Aves; Galliformes; Phasianidae.